GACCUCAAAUCAGGUAGGACUACCCGCUGAACUUAAGCAUAUCAAUAAGCGGAGGAAAAGAAACUAACAAGGAUUCCCCUAGUAACUGCGAGUGAAGCGGGAAAAGCUCAAAUUUAAAAUCUGGUGGUCUUUGGCCGUCCGAGUUGUAAUCUAGAGAAGUGUUAUCCGCGCUGGACCGUGUACAAGUCUCCUGGAAUGGAGCGUCAUAGAGGGUGAGAAUCCCGUCUUUGACACGGACUGCCAGGGCUUUGUGAUGCGCUCUCAAAGAGUCGAGUUGUUUGGGAAUGCAGCUCAAAAUGGGUGGUAAAUUCCAUCUAAAGCUAAAUAUUGGCGAGAGACCGAUAGCGAACAAGUACCGUGAGGGAAAGAUGAAAAGAACUUUGGAAAGAGAGUUAAACAGUACGUGAAAUUGCUGAAAGGGAAACGCUUGAAGUCAGUCGCGUUGGCCGGGGAUCAACCUUGCUUUUGCUGGGUGUACUUUCCGGUCGACGGGUCAGCAUCAAUUUUGACCGUUGGAUAAAGUGUGAGGGAAUGUGGCAUCCUCGGAUGUGUUAUAGCCCUUGCUCGCAUACAACGAUUGGGAUUGAGGAACUCAGCACGCCGAAAGGCCGGGUACUUGUACCACGUUCGUGCUUAGGAUGCUGGCAUAAUGGCUUUAAUCGACCCGUCUUGAAACACGGACCAAGGAGUCUAACAUGCCUGCGAGUAUUUGGGUGGAAAACCCGAGUGCGUAAUGAAAGUGAAAGUUGAGAUCCCUGUCAUGGGGAGCAUCGACGCCCGGACCAGACCUUUUGUGACGGAUCUGCGGUAGAGCAUGUAUGUUGGGACCCGAAAGAUGGUGAACUAUGCCUGAAUAGGGUGAAGCCAGAGGAAACUCUGGUGGAGGCUCGUAGCGAUUCUGACGUGCAAAU
Molecule: ribosomal RNA, 911 nt
Filed under: Bogbodia uda
Lineage: Eukaryota; Fungi; Basidiomycota; Agaricomycetes; Agaricales; Strophariaceae
Description: partial large subunit ribosomal RNA
Rfam family: Eukaryotic large subunit ribosomal RNA
Source: RNAcentral